GACGGAAGGUGCAAGCGUUGCUCGGAAUCACUGGGCGUAAAGCGCACGUAGGCGGCUUGUUAAGUCAGGGGUGAAAUCCUGGAGCUCAACUCCAGAACUGCCUUUGAUACUGGCGAGCUUGAGUCCGGGAGAGGUGAGUGGAACUGCGAGUGUAGAGGUGAAAUUCGUAGAUAUUCGCAAGAACACCAGUGGCGAAGGCGGCUCACUGGCCCGGUACUGACGCUGAGGUGCGAAAGCGUAGGGAGCAAACAGG
Molecule: ribosomal RNA, 253 nt
Filed under: uncultured bacterium
Lineage: Bacteria
Description: partial 16S ribosomal RNA
Rfam family: Bacterial small subunit ribosomal RNA
Source: RNAcentral